AUGUCAGGCUUCAAGGGGUAAACUACAGUUCCCAGGAUAUAUAUUUUUUUGGGGGGGGGGAGAGAUCUGCUUUGAAUUUGCUUUAAAUGCAUGGUAUGUAUGCACCCUUACAUAUGGAAACUGGAAGGAUGAACACCCACCAUCAAUUAUACAAUGAGCCAAGGACCUUACUGCCUUUGCUACUUUUGAAUUGUUUCCCCCCCUGAUAAACAUCAAUUUUAUUUGUAUAUAUAUCAGAGCAUCUGGAUGGCAAAUACUGACUUACAUGUUUAAACCAAGGUGGAUAUACUAAUGGUCAUUGUAUUAUUAAUGUGAACUGAUGUUUUCCUUGGCUUUUUAUUUUCUUUUUUUCUUGUCCUUCCUUUUGUUUGUUUGUUAAACUUGCUAUAAAAUUGAAUAAGAAAAAGUUAAAUAGAAAUAUAUUACCUCUUUAGAAGACCUUGUGUUCUGUCCUGGUAACCCCCCCCCUCAUUAAUGUACUGUAUUAUUGUAAGGCCCAUCCUACUGUCCCUUCCUGUGUUCAUUUAUUUCUUUAUUUGCUGUUAAACUAGGCAGACUUUCAAAGAGAGGGCUGUCCUCUGUACAGAAGGACACUGCACCACCCUGGCUAUCAAUAUUUAGAAAUGGCAAAGUAGGGAUCAAACUGGGGGCAGCAGUGUCUGAAGUGGCUUGGCAUCAGGCAAUGCAAAACAUCUCCAGUACAUGAGAACAGUUGGAGCGUUAGCAGUUUCUGAUGGUGUAAAUCUAAUUCUCUUGACCAACCUGCUUGGCAGAUUGUAUCUGUAUUGCAAUUUGCUUAUCAGCUUCCCCACCCCCUUGAUUCCUUGAGUUUCAGCCAGUCGGCUAAUUAAGAGCAAAUGUUCGUUUCAGUCAGGUAAAUAAAGGGAUGGCUUCUGAACUGAUAAUUAAAUGGCUUUUUAGAGUGGGCCAAGGGUUUUAAUGGGAGACCAGGGAGCUCUUAAGUUUCCUUUGUUUACUUCAGCCAACUGAAUAGUAUUUUAAUGAAAGCAGAGGACAGAGGAGGCUGUUUGAUAAAGCCAGGCCUUUUUUUAAGAAAAAGAAAAAUGUGGUAAUGCAUGGGCUAAAAUCAUUUGCCUGUGUGUUGUUAUAUGUGGUCAAAUUGGGUCCAUGACUGUCAUUGGUGUAGCAUCAGUCCACCACUGUGGUGCUGGCUGAAGCCACAGAUCUGUGACAUGCUAUCACAGGGCCUGGUUCCAGCAUCUCCUGAUGUCCAGUUCCUUCUGUCCUACAGAAUGGGAAUGAUGCUGCCAUUAGGGUGACUAUUUCUUCAUCACCAGGGGGAAAGGACAAACGUAGACACAGAUGUGCAUAAUAGUUGUAUGUCUGGCUGCAUACCUUUAAAUUUUAUAAUUUAAAUUAAAAUACAAGCCGUCCCACAAUAUUGCAGAUAAUUUGAUCCACGUGGCUGCUCAAUCUGAUGUCCGGGUGCAAAAAGUUGAUUGGCAAAUUCAAGGCCUCUUCCCCCCCUUCUUCUUCUGGGUCUUUAUUUUUAAAACUGGACUCGGACUGGAAUCUCUCCAAGCAAAGAACAUUUUCAUAUAGAGGACUGUAAAGUUUGACACACGGCAAAGGCCCAUGUGAUCCAGCAUCCUGUUCUCACAGUGGCCCACCAGGUGCCCCGUGGUGCCACAGAGCGGUUUUAGAGCACACCUUGCAUGGAGGUGGCCCCAGAUUCAAUUCCAAGCAUGUCCAGUUAAAAAGAUCAGGCCACAUUAUCCAGUUUAGAGAGCAACUGCCCAUUAGAGCACAGCACUAGGUGGUAUUAUCUGACCUUAUGUAAGAUGUCUGUUAAGAAAAUUACUUGAUUACUGGAUUCACAUUAGCCCUAUUCAGGCAUUAUUCACCAACCUGAGUCCUCCAGAUGUUUUUGACUACAACUCCCAUUAGGCCCAGUCAGGCUGCAGUCCAAAGUUGUAGUCAAAAAUAUUUUGAGACCCGUAGGAUGGUGAUGGAUGCAAUAUGCUAUCUGCUUUAAAAGCUACUUGUGUUGGGGACAUUGUGAUGCAUGCCCUCUUAAUCCCUGGAGGUUUCAUGUUUGAUCUUUGUGUGAAAACACAGGUGUCAGAAGCUAGCUUCUAAGGGUGCAUUCAGACAUGGGGAAUAUUGCAUUAGUUUCCCUGAUAUUAAUGCUGGCACUUCUGUCCUGUUUUCGAUGUUCCUUUCAUACUGCAGUAUCUGCUGCUUUGUGGAAUUGUGUGUGUGUGUGUGUUGUUGUUGUUGUUGUUGUUGUUGUUGUUGUUGUUGUUGUUGUUUUAAGCAAUAUACUGGCAUGGCAGGCAAAAUUUCAUUCACAGCAGAGGGUGUGGUCAUGUGACACAGCAACAAACAUCAUUCAACAACAGCACUACUCCCCCACCCUUUCUGCACAUGCAUGUUUCUGUUCCCCCAUGAAAACGGAAAGAAAGAAUUGUAUGCCAGUAUUCCAUCCAAGUUUUGUUGCUUUAUUCCUGCAAUUUUCUGGAUUAUUUGGGUUGCAAACAGGUUGUUUUUUUUUUAAGCGAUUAACAUGGAAAUGAGUGCCGAACUUCAACUAUAUUCUGCUAGGUUUUGAGAAGUGGCUUUCACAUCAUGUGAAGGACCAUAUAUAAAGUGGAAAUCAACAGUUAGAUAAAUGUCAGGGAAACAGAACAAACUGCCGUGUGAAUGCAGCCUGAGUGUGUUCCAUGCAGUUUGGAACCUUGAUAACCCAAGGUUCCUGACUAUGGGUAGGACUGUCGAUGCAUUCAGCUGGACACAUUGAAGAAGCCCCUUUUGGACCGUUGCAAUUGAAAGCAUCCCUGACAGAGAUAGGAACGUUGGGGGCUUGGGCAGGGGGGUGGGGACUUAUAGUUUUAACAUGAUGCCUAAAAUAAGUGCUGCAAAUCCUUUUUCCUGGCAUGAAGUGACAUUGUGCUGUUCCCUUGUGGGAGAAAUCUAUCUGCAAACCCAGCAUUCUGGAUCAAUCUGCACUCUGGAUGCAAACUGAAUUGAUGAAAGUUCAGCAGUCUUGACUUGCUGAUUCAGAGUGUAUGGUCUGAAUGUAUGUGUGUUCACUACGAGUCUGAGCGAAAACGCUUUAACCUAAGCUAAAGGGAGGUGGCUCUGGCAUGUUUUCUUUGCAUGGAGAUGCAUAAUGCAUAGGAUCCUGGCUGGUAACCCUUAAUACAGUUGGGCCUUGACCUGGUUUUUCUCCAGAUGGAACAGCAGCAUGAAUGUUUAAUACAGUAGUCUAUGAUGGCAGCGGAACAAAGAAAAAUGCGAAAUGAACUAUAGGAAUCUAACCACAGCACACAGCUCUGGAAUAACAUCUGUGUGUGCGUGCGCAUAUGUGAUGAUAUCUUGCCAGUGCCAUGUUUGCAUAAAGGGAUUUGUGCAUGAUGUGGUCUAUGCCUUAAGGAGGAGAAACAAAGCCUUGGUUGUGGCAGAAAGGAUAGGUGACUUCUAAAUUUGUAUCAGAAUUAUUCUCCCAUUCUAGGUCUGAGGCACUGCUAAUGUUUUCUGAGGCCCCUGAGAAUGGAGCAUUGAGCCUGACCUUAGUUCAGUGCACCUGGCUGUUAACUGCAAGGUUGGUGGUUCGAGCCCACCCAGGGAAGGCUGUGGGCAGAAUUCCUACAUUGCAAAGGGUUGCAUUAGAUGGCCUAAUUAGAUGUGCCUCCUUACGGGUACUGCUAGUGGAAAUGAGGAUUUGCUGCUUGCUUCUCUGGAUAUUUGUGGCUCUUCAAAAGGUUGCACAUUUCUUAUUUUUCAAUUAAUCUGAAAGCAAUCCCCCCCAACAUUAUUUUUGUUAUGCAUUACUGCAGAUGCAUUGCUACUUAUCAUUGAUCAGAGUCUGGAAAGGAAAAUUGUAGAACAGGUUUGAGUGACAUUGUUCCAUGCCAAGAAUUUCCACAAUUCUUUCUGGAUAAUGGAAGGGUGGCCAUCUCUCUCCCUCCCACCCCCAAUAGCAACCUGACUAAACCGUAGCAAAGGUGAGAGGAAGCAACUGAACAGUGCCAUUGCUGUCCCCUUUUGCAUAGGUGGUCUGCUUUGAUCCUCUGAACUGUUCUUCUUUCAUGUGGAAGGCAUUUGUAAAUGAAAGGAAAGAAAAGCAAGCCCUGCUUUGGAGCCAUGGCUCUUUUUGCUAAAACGUCACCUUAGAUCAGAGCUGUUUAGCUUUCCGAAACCUUUGUAGCCUGUGUUUGGAAGCACUGACACUGCAGCAAAGCCAAGAGGAUCUAGAUUGUUACUGAGCAAGAUAAAUGCUGUUAUGAUGUCUGGAGCAUAUGUGGAGGAAGGGUCUGAAUGUUCCACAGUUUUUGGGAGGGAAGGGGCUGCCAUGUAUCUCCCUGCAUUGAUACAUUGCACAUUUCUGAUGAAGUCCUGGCUAGAUGCUCUCUAUGUUGCAACAGUUAACUGCAGGCCCACUUGUUAUCUUGGGCUUAUGGACUUUGUCUACUUGUGUGCUACUUUAUGGCAGGCAUGGGCUGAUUUCUACCCUGGAAACUCUGCUUAUUAUUUGCUGGAUUCCUUGUGAUUCACUGAUGUGCGGUAAAUUUACAGUUCAUGACUGCAGGCUCAGGACUUGAGUUAAAUGAUCCUGAGUAUUCACUCUUGCUUAGGAACAACAGUGCAAUGCCAAAGGAAACCAAGUUCUGCCUAGGCCUUGUGUUCUCACAAUUUCUUUGUAAGAAAUUCCAACAUCGACUAGACCCAUCACUACUGCUUGGCAGUAGGGGAAGCCCAUCAGGAGGCUUCCCUGACAGAUGGAGGGGGCCUACUUGAGAACACUUUGUCCCUGGAGUUGCCAUUGUGGAGAAGAGCAGGUUUUUGAACUAGAACCUGUGACUCUCUAGACAUUGCUAAACUACAGCUCCCACCACCCCUGACCAUUGGCCAUGCUGGCUGGGGCUAAUGAGAACAAGAGUCCACCAACAUGUGGAGGGCCACAACUUCACCACACCUGAACUAGAUGUCACUUAUCCCUUCCAGUGUUUACUUCUCUCUUCCAGAAUAUAUCAUUCGCUGGUUCUCAUCCCCCCAUAUCAGAUAUCUGCGUGAUCAAGACUAGCCAGUGGUUGCAGUCCCAUGGGUAGCUCUGAGUGGCUUGCUCCAACAAAGCUUCAAGAUCAACUGAGGUCUUGUGAAUCCCUUCUUCCCAUCCCCAUGCCCAAGCUCUUUGGUCGAAAGGGCUCAUUCCUGGUGCAAAUGAUGAGCACUUCAUUGUUUUUCUCUGCCUUCCCAUUUGCUGAAACCUCCACCUUUGGGCAGGCAUGAUAGUGCAGGAGGCACUCUACUCCUCUGGUGCAGUGGCAGACCUUGGGCUCUCAGAUUUCAGUGGCACCCUGUGUGGCGCCAAAAUUCAGCACCUCUCACCUUCAAUUUUACAUUACAGUUGCAGCACCUCCAAGUGUCUGCGUCCAGUGUGACCAAACCAGUCACACUUUCCUAAAUCCACCUCUGUCUGGUGAGCCAGGCUUCUUUAGAGGCAGCAUCUGUGAAGGUCCUCUGCAGGCUCCAGGCCACUGGUUUUAAGUCACAAGGGCUCUGAACCAUCAGUCUCAGAGCAUUCUGAGCUCUGUGAACUACAUACUAGAAUCGGGAGACUGGCUCAGUUCCCCAGCUGAACUCUCUUCCUUCUCCAAGCUUGAGGCCCGUGCUAUGACAGGAGGUCUUCUGCCUCUCAGUGAUGCUUGUGAAGCACUGAUGAGCAUUACACUGGGCAGAUGUGGGUCCUGUUUUCAAUGCAGUGGAUUUUUCCCCCUUUGAAAGGCUUUGAGGUGUCACUUGCAAUCAUGUGUAAGCUGGUGCCAGUAGCCUGUGAGUAUUGUACCAAAUGUAAAAGUACAAGCUAUUCUGAAUAAUGUAUUAUUUAUUGUGCAUUAAGUUAUUAAUAGAGCUAGCAGUCUAACAUUGCUGAGGACAAACUUCAGUUGGGGGGCUAAAUAUUACUAUAAAAUGUAGGAGUUGCCAGGUUAAUGUUUGCUUUCGGUUUCAAGCCAUUCCUAACCCUCACCCCACAACAAGCUGAAUGCAUGUUCUUUUUUUUCUUUUUCUUUUUUUUUUGCAAGAUUCUUUUCUCAGUUCUUUUGGGAAAUAAAGAGGGGGAAAUCAACAUUCACAUGCUGUAUUUAUUCCUGGCAAAGACUGCUUUUCUGUGGAUGGGUUCUCAAGGUUGGUGUAAUAACAUUUAUUUAUUUAUUUAUUAGUAUUAUUACUUUAAACAGAAAUACAAUCCCUUUCAUCAUAAUGGCAAAGACUGUGACCUGUGAGCUUCCUCAUUGCUAUCCAGCUGCUGUAGGUGGGCAUCUUAAAGCUGUCCCACCCCACUCCACCCCACCCCACCCCACUCUCCCUUCUUAGAAUUUUUUUCUUAAGCUUUAAGUCAAACAUGAACUGGACAGCCCUUCAGAUAGAGGACUCACUUAUCUGAUGGCAUGUCUCCCAUCCACAUCUGCAGGCUACAUCAAGCUAACGUUUUCAUUUGUGUGGAGAGAAAAAGAUUUGAUUACAC
Non-coding RNA from Podarcis lilfordi (Lilford's wall lizard), 6490 nucleotides. NCBI's taxonomy places the organism in Eukaryota, Metazoa, Chordata, Lepidosauria, Squamata, Lacertidae. The record is from the annotation of a GenBank genome assembly.